Long non-coding RNA from Lactuca sativa (garden lettuce), 1402 nucleotides. RefSeq lists it as uncharacterized. NCBI's taxonomy places the organism in Eukaryota, Viridiplantae, Streptophyta, Magnoliopsida, Asterales, Asteraceae. The record is from RefSeq and is a predicted model, not a curated record.
UUAAGGAGUUUUAGUUAGAUUUAAAUUUGAAGCCGUCACCUUAAAUUCCUUCAAUCAAUCUCUAGAUGGUUUCGAUUUGAGGUUAGAUUGAAACCCUAGAAGCCCACCCACUACCUUCUGCUUCUUCAUCGCCAUUGUUGCUUCGACUACCACAACCAUCUGCAGCUUUCACGGUCGACUUCAAUCACCACCAAAGCCUUCACCCACCCCUCGCCAUUUCAGAAUUCAUAACAUCACCGUCCAUCGCACCAUUGCUCCUCUCUCACUAAACCGACUUUUCUCCCCUUCUGAACCCUAGAUAACGGGUCAUAACCAUUGUGUUGCCUCCUGCUUCCGUCACCAACGACUUCAUUUAAGUUAUAAUCAAUAAUCACAUAACCAUGUAAGCUUUACAUCACAUGCAUGUAAGGUUACAGAUUACGAUUUCUCCUCACCUACUCUCAUCGUCUAUUUUUAUUUCUAAAAAUCGAAUGUGUUUAAUAUGACAUAUAUCUGUGUUAAAUCUAAAGAUUCACGAGUCUCGAACUAUCGAUCACCAUAUCUACGAACACAUAAUGUUUAAAGGCAACUUCUAUAGAUGCAUGCAUGUACUGAAGGUAUGUUUUAUUCAUAUAAAUAUCUACAUGUGGGUGAGUUGAUGACAACUCAAAGGAUAUCCUGGAUUCAUAUGCCAAAAUUAUAUGUAUUUUUCUUUCAAAUACUCUUUAAAUAUGAUGCAGAUUUGGAGUCAUCUCAAAUCCUUUAAGUUCAAAAUACAGAAGAUCAUCUAGAUCUAGUUCUUUCCUCUUCCUUUGAUUUCCCAGGAAACAGAUAUAGAAUGUGAAAAGUUGGAUCAAAUUGAAGUUGUGUUUAGUCUGGAAGUUAAUGAUGAAGGUGACAACAAAAUUCGUUCUUCAACAAAACGGGUCCCUUGGAGAAAUGUUAACAAAAAUUUUGGUUUAGCACUUGAUUACUUUGAAGAUAACCAAACCUAAAUAUUUUAUAUUUAUUAGUCAUCUUGAUGUUACAGGAAAAUGCUAAGCCUAAAAUAUUUAUAGGAUACUAAUGAAGUUGUCAAUUUGUAUGUUUUUGUGUAUGGCACCAGGGUGGUCAAACAUAAGGGCGUGUAUGUUAUUUCAUGUUUUUUCAAUUGUAUCGGCAUCAUUUUUUGAUACCACAAAAGAAUUAUUUAUAAUAUUAUUGUAUUUGAUCACUGAUGGGUGAAUCUUAAAAGUUAAAAUCUAAUUUUCUUUGGUAUUUAAAUAACGACUACGUUCUGGUGGAUGUUGAUGAUGUAAAACAUAUUGCAUUUCUUCUUCAAGUCAGCAGCUUAAAGUAUGAAUGCAUAUUAUCUUUCCAUUAUCCAUGGUUGAAAUGACAGGUUUGUUCCCUGACUUUAUAGUUCUCAUGGAAGGAUGGCUAA